This 253-nucleotide ribosomal RNA is filed under the name uncultured bacterium. RNAcentral's name for it is "partial 16S ribosomal RNA". It matches the Rfam family "Bacterial small subunit ribosomal RNA", at positions 524 to 776 of the family's 1533-position model. The record is from RNAcentral.
UACGGAGGGUGCAAGCGUUGUCCGGAAUCACUGGGCGUAAAGGGCGCGUAGGCGGCUCAUGAAGGCUGUGGUGAAAGUCCGGGGCUCAACCUCGGAUCGGCCGUGGCGACUCGUGGGCUGGAGCACUGUAGAGGCGGGUGGAAUUCCGGGUGUAGCGGUGGAAUGCGUAGAGAUCCGGAAGAACACCGGUGGCGAAGGCGACUUUCUGGUCUGUAACUGACACUGAGGCGCGAAAGCGUGGGGAGCAAACAGG